CCUGUGGUGUAGCGGUUAACAUGCCUGCCUGUCACGCAGGAGAUCGCGGGUUCGAAUCCCGUCAGGA
Molecule: transfer RNA, 67 nt
Filed under: uncultured Exiguobacterium sp.
Lineage: Bacteria; Bacillati; Bacillota; Bacilli; Caryophanales
Rfam family: tRNA
About the family: Transfer RNA (tRNA) molecules are approximately 80 nucleotides in length.
Source: RNAcentral